AUUGAACGCUGGCGGCAUGCCUUACACAUGCAAGUAGAACGGCAGCGGGGGAGAAGCUUGCUUUUCCUGCCGGCGAGUGGCGAACGGGUGAGUAAUACAUCGGAACGUGCCCUGUAGUGGGGGAUAACUAGUCGAAAGAUUAGCUAAUACCGCAUACGACCUGAGGGUGAAAGUGGGGGACCGCAAGGCCUCAUGCUAUAGGAGCGGCCGAUGUCUGAUUAGCUAGUUGGUGGGGUAAAGGCCUACCAAGGCGACGAUCAGUAGCUGGUCUGAGAGGACGAUCAGCCACACUGGGACUGAGACACGGCCCAGACUCCUACGGGAGGCAGCAGUGGGGAAUUUUGGACAAUGGGCGAAAGCCUGAUCCAGCAAUGCCGCGUGUGUGAAGAAGGCCUUCGGGUUGUAAAGCACUUUUGUCCGGAAAGAAAUGGCUCUGGUUAAUACCUGGGGUCGAUGACGGUACCGGAAGAAUAAGGCCCGGCUAACUACGUGCCAGCCGCCGCGGUAA
Molecule: ribosomal RNA, 508 nt
Filed under: uncultured bacterium
Lineage: Bacteria
Description: partial 16S ribosomal RNA
Rfam family: Bacterial small subunit ribosomal RNA
Source: RNAcentral